GGGCUUUUGGCACAGUUGGUAGCGCGCAUGCUUCGCAUGGUGAUCCAGUGUCACAUGAUUGCAUGAGGUCGUGGGUUCAACUCCCACAGAGUCCA
This is a transfer RNA of Hydnomerulius pinastri MD-312, 95 nucleotides long. It matches the Rfam family "tRNA". Rfam says of the family: Transfer RNA (tRNA) molecules are approximately 80 nucleotides in length. NCBI's taxonomy places the organism in Eukaryota, Fungi, Basidiomycota, Agaricomycetes, Boletales. The record is from Rfam.